UCAACACGACUGCGAGCGCUGUAGCUCCCAUCGGCGGUCGGCGCUCCCGUCCCGUCGUCCUCCCCGCCGCCGUCCUUCCUCCGUCUCUCCAAGCUCGUUUUUGCUUCUUUGUCUGCACUCCCCAACCUCUGGUGCGCCGGAGUGAACUGGGACCAGCUGGAGAUAGGGUCGAGGGGGGGGGCGAUGGUGGCCGGCGAGCACCGGCGCCGGCAACCGGAGUGAUGGAGGUGGAGGAGGAGGAACAGGCGCUGUGGUGGAUAGCGCGGGCGCGACGGAGCGGGCUGGGGCAGGCGCCGCCGGUCGCUCGGGCUCGGCUCACAUACUUGCACGUGAUUGCUGUAACGUUGUGAAUAAACCAAAGGCAUAUGUCGUCUUCAGAACUUUGUUAUUGGUGAACAUAUUCUUACACCAUCUUCAGGCAUCGAGUCUCCAAUUAAGGAUUGUGCUAUAAGUGUGAAGUGAUAAUUUUACUGUUUUGAGCACUGAAGCUGGUUGGAUCGAAAAAUUGAGCCUUCAAUCUGGUAUUAGUCGUGCCAGGGGAAGUCGUCAGAUUAGCUUGUGAUGCUACAAAUGAUUCUCUAACUAUUAAGGUUUGAUGCUGCUGUUGCACUUUAGUUCAAUGACAGUUUAUUUCUCACAAGACUACAAUAUGUUCCAGCGCC
This is a long non-coding RNA of Triticum dicoccoides, 662 nucleotides long. RefSeq lists it as uncharacterized. The transcript is spliced from 3 exons. Lineage: Eukaryota; Viridiplantae; Streptophyta; Magnoliopsida; Poales; Poaceae. The record is from RefSeq and is a predicted model, not a curated record.